AAUAAGUGCAGUUUUAGCAUUGUUCAUGUCCAACGUUUGACUGUUUGUCUUAUUUGAAAUUUUUUUAUAAUUACUACUUUUAUUGUUAUUAGAUGAUAAAACAUGAAUAGUACUUUAUGUGUGACUAAUUUUUUUUAAUAUUUUUCAUAAUUUUUUCAAAUAAGACGGGUGGUCAAAACAAUGAACACGGAUAUCUAUGGCUGAACUUAUU
This is a microRNA precursor of Oryza sativa Japonica Group (Japanese rice), 211 nucleotides long. It matches the Rfam family "MIR812 microRNA precursor family". The record is from Rfam. Lineage: Eukaryota; Viridiplantae; Streptophyta; Magnoliopsida; Poales; Poaceae.